AUUUAUUGAUGAGGGCAUCUUUGUAAUAGUUCUUUAAACCUUUCCCAUGCCUCAUACAAGGACUCGUCAUCCAUCUGUGGUAGUAAUCUCAUUCCUCAACUU
This is a non-coding RNA of Gossypium raimondii (Peruvian cotton), 102 nucleotides long. The record is from Rfam. Lineage: Eukaryota; Viridiplantae; Streptophyta; Magnoliopsida; Malvales; Malvaceae.